UUGGUAACGUCAAAAUUCACAGUUAUUAACCAUAAAUUAUUCCUCCCAACUGAAAGUGCUUUACAACCCUCAGGCCUUCUUCACACACGCGGCAUUGCUGGAUCAGGGUUUCCCCCAUUGUCCAAUAUUCCCC
RNAcentral lists this ribosomal RNA (133 nucleotides) under uncultured bacterium. RNAcentral describes it as "partial 16S ribosomal RNA". The record is from RNAcentral.